CGGAGGGUGCGAGCGUUAUCCGGAUUCACUGGGUUUAAAGGGUGCGUAGGUGGGAAUGUAAGUCAGUGGUGAAAUCUCCGUGCUUAACACGGAAACUGCCAUUGAUACUAUGUUUCUUGAAUUUUCUGGAGGUUAGCGGAAUAUGUCAUGUAGCGGUGAAAUGCUUAGAUAUGACAUAGAACACCGAUUGCGAAGGCAGCUAACUACAGGGAUAUUGACACUGAGGCACGAAAGCGUGGGAUCAAACAGGAUU
RNAcentral lists this ribosomal RNA (253 nucleotides) under uncultured bacterium. RNAcentral describes it as "partial 16S ribosomal RNA". It matches the Rfam family "Bacterial small subunit ribosomal RNA", at positions 526 to 779 of the family's 1533-position model. The record is from RNAcentral.